AAUCAAACGCUGGCGGCGUGCCUCAGACAUGCAAGUCGAACGCGAAAUCCCGAGCAAUCGGGAAAGUAGAGUGGCGCACGGGUGAGUAACACGUAGGUAAAUCUACCUUCGGAUGGGGAAUAACAAUCGGAAACGAUUGCUAAUACCGCAUAAUGCAGCGGCACCUAAUGGUGACAGUUGUUAAAGCGGGGGAUCGAAAGACCUCGCGUCUGAAGAGGAGCCUGCGGCGGAUUAGCUAGUUGGUAAGGUAAUGGCUUACCAAGGCAACGAUCCGUAACCGGCCUGAGAGGGCGGUCGGUCACACUGACACUGACAUACGGGUCAGACUCCUACGGGAGGCAGCAGUCGGGAAUUUUGGGCAAUGGGCGAAAGCCUGACCCAGCAACGCCGCGUGAAGGAUGAAAUCCCUCGGGAUGUAAACUUCGCAAGAACGGGAAGAAUAAGUAGGGACAAUACCCCCCUAUGAUGACGGUACCGUUUGUAAGCUCCGGCUAACUCCGUGCCAGCCGCCGCCGUAA
This 518-nucleotide ribosomal RNA is filed under the name uncultured bacterium. RNAcentral's name for it is "bacterial SSU rRNA". It matches the Rfam family "Bacterial small subunit ribosomal RNA", at positions 30 to 523 of the family's 1533-position model. The record is from RNAcentral.